UAAUAUAAUAAUAUUAGGAAUAAUUCGUUUGAUCUCUCCCCCUUUGCAGUUUUACAAAAGGGGGAAGUGGAUCCCAAGAACUUGAGUCAUGCCCAAGGUCCCAUGAGGAGUGAGUGAUAGAGCUGAGCUUUGCACCUACAGCCUUGAACCCAGGAUCCUUCCACACCAGACCUUCUCUUCUUGGCUCUCCCAUAAUAAAACCUCCCAAUGUGAGGGACCCAUCUUCUCCUUUUGCACGUAAAAUCCACGGGCUCAUAGCUGGUCUUCACACUACUUGGUUUCUCUUUUCUGGUAGCUCUGUGGUACAUGGAUGGGGCUCUCUGGGUUGAGAUGAAGCCAUCAUCCUUCAAUCAAGGCAUUGAGUCAGAUACCUAAAAGAUGGCAGCAAAACUGGCAAAUGGGGUAGGAGAGCAGGUAGCCGUGGCUGCAGCAAGCUUGUCUUCUGGGAACUACUCUGUCUCCCCCCCCCCCCCCCCUAUGCUGCAGGAAGGCCAGGGGAUUCCUGCCUCCCAGGGCGUUACUGUCGCGCAGCUCAAAGUGGGUUCUGAGGGCACUGGACUGAGGCCCACUGUUCCCGGGAGAGGGAAAGGAGAAACGGAUGAGCCUCUUCCCAGGGGCCAGCAGCUUCGUGGGGGCGCCUCCUCUUCCCGUCCUGGGAGCCUGCUGUGUGAACGCAGCUGCACUCCAGGGAAAGGGCUGUUUUCCAUCUUUGGUGUCCACCUGCCCCGGGUUCUUACCUGUGGCACCAAGAAGUUGCAGCAUACGUAG
RNAcentral lists this long non-coding RNA (768 nucleotides) under Monodelphis domestica (gray short-tailed opossum). RNAcentral describes it as "lncRNA (ENSMODG00000040287.1)". Lineage: Eukaryota; Metazoa; Chordata; Mammalia; Didelphimorphia; Didelphidae. The record is from RNAcentral.